RNAcentral lists this long non-coding RNA (378 nucleotides) under Panax ginseng (ginseng). Its description in RNAcentral is "long non-coding RNA (PGIN_LNC019060)". The record is from RNAcentral. Lineage: Eukaryota; Viridiplantae; Streptophyta; Magnoliopsida; Apiales; Araliaceae.
UUGUUUUGUUCAUAAAAUUGCACACCCCAUCACGAUACGCAUCAACUAAUCCCCUCCCAUCAACCCGUAUCCUACGGUACAUCCAACUCUAGUCGGCUAACAUCUUUAAUUGAACAAAAUAUACAAUUAGAAUAAUAAUAUUCAUGUAUGUGGUUCAUGCAUGAAUUAUAUUCGACAUUAUGUCCACUCUAUAGGGGUAAGGAUUCUAUCAUGUUCCUGGAUGCAUCUCCUCACUAGUGUCAACCUUGAGCACGUUUCUUCUGUUUUAAGAAAAUUUCAGCAGCACCGCCCCAUGGUGUCUAAGUACACAAAAUAGACUAAGACAGCUUAGUCUAAGUAUGCACUCGGAGAACAUGUAGAAACAUCAGCUGAAAAAUC